This 440-nucleotide ribosomal RNA is filed under the name uncultured bacterium. RNAcentral describes it as "partial 16S ribosomal RNA". It matches the Rfam family "Bacterial small subunit ribosomal RNA", at positions 338 to 795 of the family's 1533-position model. The record is from RNAcentral.
CCUACGGGAGGCAGCAGUGAGGGAUAUUGGUCAAUGGUGGAGACCCUGAACCAGCAAAGCCGCGUGAGGGAAGAAGGUUUUCGGAUUGUAAAACUCUGUCCUCUGUGAAAAUGAUGACGGUAGCCGAGGCGGAAGCUCCGGCUAACUACGAGACAGAAGCGGCGGUAAUACGGAGGGAGCCAGGGUUUUCCGGAUUUACUGGGUGUAAAGGGUGCGUAGGCGGCUUUGCAAGUCAGAAGUGAAACCCAUGGGCUUAACCCAUGAACUGCCGUUGAAACUGCAGGUCUUGAGUGGAGUAGAGGUAGGCGGAAUUCCCGGUGUAGCGGUGAAAUGCGUAGAGAUCGGGAGGAACACCAGUUGCGAAGGCGGCCUGCUGGGCUCUAACUGACGCUGAGGCACGAAAGCGUGGGUAGCAAACAGGAUUAGAUACCCGUGUAGUC